UGGUUUGUUGAGAAUGUUGACCUUCUUAUCAAUCAUAUCAUAAUAUUAUCAUUGAUACUGCCACGCCGCGAUUGCUAUUACACCGGUAUUAGUACAAAUAAUAUUGCUUCUGGAUCUUCUGUAACUUCAGUGUGCCUUGCUUAGCUAAGUCGAAAUGAUAACUGACGUACAGCUGGCUGUCUUUGCCAACGUUCUGGGAGUAUCCUUGUUCCUGCUUGUAGUAUUAUAUCACUACAUCUCCGCCAACCACACCAAGAGUAGCUGAAAUGCGCAGUUCUGCGGAAGAAUCACCACCCAAAGCAGAACUAAUCAGAAGCAUGGAUAAAGGUUGAUUCCGAUCUUCUGCAACAGCAUGAUCUCUGUCCAAAGCAUUCUUCACUUUCUCUUCUUAAAUUAACUACUUUCCUUUUUACUUAAACAGACUCUUUUAAUGAGGGUAAACUUAAUUUCGAAUUCCUUCUUUUUACUGCAUUUAUCUACUUAUGAUCAGCAUUAUUGAUUUCUGUACACACCCAUCAUUUCCAGGUGGCAGUUACUUACUCAAGUAUUGAAUAAUGUAACUUUUGCUACUUUCUGUUAAAUAAUGAAAUAGAUAUCCUAUACAAAUGAAUGUAAUUUUA
This is an RNA transcript of Bemisia tabaci, 620 nucleotides long. RefSeq lists it as uncharacterized. Lineage: Eukaryota; Metazoa; Arthropoda; Insecta; Hemiptera; Aleyrodidae. The record is from RefSeq and is a predicted model, not a curated record.